Molecule: ribosomal RNA, 241 nt
Filed under: uncultured bacterium
Lineage: Bacteria
Description: partial 16S ribosomal RNA
Rfam family: Bacterial small subunit ribosomal RNA
Source: RNAcentral
GGCGAACGGGUGAGUAACACGUAGGUGAUCUGCCCUUGGGCGGGGGAUAGCCCAUGGAAACAUGGGGUAAUACCGCAUAAGGUUCAGGCUGUAAGGGGCCUGGAUGAAAGGUGCAAUUGUACCGCCUGGGGAUGAGCCUGCGGUCCAUUAGUUAGUUGGUGGGGUAAGAGCCUACCAAGGCGACGAUGGAUAGCCGGCCUGAGAGGGUGAACGGCCACACUGGGACUGAGACACGGCCCAG